RNAcentral lists this ribosomal RNA (915 nucleotides) under uncultured crenarchaeote. Its description in RNAcentral is "bacterial SSU rRNA". It matches the Rfam family "Archaeal small subunit ribosomal RNA", at positions 1 to 922 of the family's 1478-position model. Lineage: Archaea; Thermoproteati; Thermoproteota. The record is from RNAcentral.
UUCCGGUUGGAUCCGCCGGAGAUCACCGCUUUUGGGGUUCGAUUAAGCCAUGCGAGUCUUUGGCAGCAAUGCCAAGGCGAACUGCUGAGUAACACGUAGUUAACCUGCCCUUAAGUCUGGGAUAAUCUCGGGAAACUGAGCAUAAUACCAGAUAAGUGAUAAUACCUGGAACGGUUUAUCACACAAAGCUUAGGCGCUCAAGGAUGGGACUGCGGUAGAUUAGGUUGAUGUUAGGGUAACUGCCUAACAUGCCGAUAAUCUAUAGGGGCUGUGAGAGCAGUAGCCCCCAGAUGGGUUCUGAGACACGAACCCAGGUCCUAAGGGACGCAGCAGGCGCGAAACCUCCGCAAUGCACGCAAGUGUGACGGGGGGACCUCAGGUGCUAGCGCUUAAAGUGUUAGCUUUUCGUGAGUUUAAAUUGCUCGCGGAAUAAGUGGUGGGUAAGACCGUUGCCAGCCGCCGCGGUAAUAACGGCACCACAAGUGGUGAUCACGUGUAUUGGGCCUAAAGCAUCCGUAGCCGGCUCAGUAAGUUUUCGGUUAAAUCUGUACGCUCAACGUACAGGCUGCCGGGAAUACUGCAGAGCUAGGGAGUGGGAGAGGUAGACGGUACUCGGGAGGAAGUGGUAAAAUGCUUUGAUCUUUCGAUGACCACCUGUGGCGAAGGCGGUCUACCAGAACACGUCCGACGGUGAGGGAUGAAAGCUGGGGGAGCAAACCGGAUUAGAUACCCGGGUAGUCCCAGCUGUAAACUAUGCAAACUCAGUGAUGCAUUGGCUUGUGGCCAAUGCAGUGUUGCAGGGAAGCCGUUAAGUUUGCCGCCUGGGAAGUACGUACGCAAGUAUGAAACUUAAAGGAAUUGGCGGGGGAGCACCACAAGGGGUGAAGCCUGCGGUUCAAUUGGUUCAACGCCGGA